GGGCCUAUAGCUCAGCCUGGACAGAGCAACUGCCUUCUAAGCAGGAGGUCGGGGGUCCAAAUCCCCCUAGGCCCG
This 75-nucleotide transfer RNA is filed under the name Microcaldota archaeon. RNAcentral describes it as "tRNA-Arg". It matches the Rfam family "tRNA". From Rfam's summary of the family: Transfer RNA (tRNA) molecules are approximately 80 nucleotides in length. Lineage: Archaea; Nanobdellati; Microcaldota. The record is from RNAcentral. RNAcentral also lists the same sequence under 1 other name.